This 243-nucleotide long non-coding RNA is filed under the name Medicago truncatula (barrel medic). RNAcentral describes it as "lncRNA gene14126". The record is from RNAcentral. Lineage: Eukaryota; Viridiplantae; Streptophyta; Magnoliopsida; Fabales; Fabaceae.
AUGUUUCACAUCAAACGACAUCAAGAGACAAUUUCAAACAUCCCAUUUAUCAAAUUUAAAUCAAGGGACAUGUUCAACCUUCCCAUUUAUCAAACUUUGUAACCAUAUAGGCUAAUAUCUCGUUUUCGUGACAAGGGUCUUCCCAAUACUUUAUAUUUACCUUAUUUAAUACCAAAUAUCUCAAUAAAAUAAAAAGAAAAAACUCAAAAGUUAUAAACCCAAAAGACAAUCGAUAAAAAAAUA